Molecule: long non-coding RNA, 6435 nt
Filed under: Homo sapiens (human)
Lineage: Eukaryota; Metazoa; Chordata; Mammalia; Primates; Hominidae
Description: HSALNT0207241
Source: RNAcentral
CGGAGUCGCGAGCGUGACGGGCUUGCUUGGAGGGCACUUGGUGGCCGGUAGCACCAUAAAGGCCAUAAUUUGGUGUGUGGGUGUGGGGGUGUGUGUGUUAACGGCAUUGGUUUGAUUCACACUUCUGAUGAAAGAAGCCUGUUUAAAAAAGAAAAGAAAAAAGAAGCCUGUUUAAAGGGUGCAGGGUGUUACGAUUGUUAACGUGCAGUGGGCAGUUCACCUGCUACGCUAUCCAACAGGCGCCCUGCUCAGGCCCGACCUCGCACUGCCGCGCGGGCCGGUCCCCCCCGGCCCGGGUAACUGGGACGUCCUGGGAAAAUAAAUUAAUCACGUACGGAGUGAGAGAACAGGAAACCUGCCGAGAAAAAGAUCGAUAAGCAGACAAUUACACCAAGCCAACUUCAGUGCAAUCGUUAAAGCUUACACAUGGGUGCACGCUUGGGAGCCGUGAGCUACCAUGUUAAAAGGCCAACUUCCUAAGGAAAAAUGAUGGAAAGAGAUCCCGAGAUCCUAUGAAAUGGAAGAGGGAGGACAACCCAGCUAUCCCAACAUCCCAGCUGAGGCCAGCCACACACGUGACUGUCUGCAAAGCCCGUCGGGCCUGGGUCCAGCUCAGGUUGCAGAAUUGUUGGCAAGUAAAACGUUUGUUGUCGUUCUGACUCAAAAACAUGGAGACAAAGCAGACUUGUAGGGUAUUACAGUCAACAACUAGACCCUACAGCUAAAGGACUGUCUCCUUGCAUGAUGCAACAACCAUCACAGCUCUGCAAGAGCAACCAAACCACCAAGGAUGCGAUCACCCCUCACUGCCUUCGAUACGCAUUCUGUGGAAACGCUUCUAAACUUGCAUCACACUCAACACGAUCAGUUAGUAACUGGCUUCUCAUGAAGUUAUUCUCUCAGCCGCAUACUACAAUGUCCAGAUGUCAUCUAAAUCCUGCCACCCUCUCCCCCACCUUCAGCUGAAACGCUGCAUGACUGCAUCAUCUUACCUGACCAGCUCUCUCCUAGGACAGACAUGCAAGAACCCCCCUCACUAACGCUGAUGUUAUUUGGUUUACAGAUGGCUCUUACUUAAAGAUGCAGCUGGAAGGUAUUACACUGGUUAUGCCAUAGCGUCUUUGCCCAAAGAAAUAGAAAGUGCUUGUCUUCCAGGAGCAAUCAUCUCAACAAGCAAAGUUAAUAGCAUUAAUUAGAGCCUGUCAGUUGGCAAAAGGAAUAACUGCUAAUCUUUAUACCAAUAGCAGGUAUGCUUAUAGAGUAGCUCAUAACUUUGGAAUGCUAUGGAGACAAAGGAUUUUUAACCUUUUCUAGUCAGCCCACAAAAAAAUGGGUGCCUUGUUUCAGAAUUAUGGCAAGCCAUACUAUUGCCAAAAUCAUUAGCCAUUAUCAAGAUUCCAGGCCAUUCAAAGACACUCAAAAAAGCAAGAUAAGCCAGUUAGCAGGUAGUAUAGCAAACAGGGUGGCCAUAAACAUAUCUGAACAAAAAGAUCAAACCAUUUUGGCCUUUAAGGAAGUUAGAUUUUUAUGUAAAAUUAGCUCAAUCUAAAUCUCCAAAAACAGGACGAGAAAAUUGGGAAACAAAAGUGGCACAUGCGCUUCUGAGACUGAUGUACGGUUUGACCAAAUGUUCUACUCAUACUUCCAACUAAGUUACAACCAUCUUUCUUUUUUUUUUUUUCUUUUUCAGAUGGAGUCUCGCUCUGUUGCCCAGGCUGGAGUGCAAUGGCGUGAACUCCACCUCCUGGGUUCACGCAAUUCUCCUGCCUCAGCCUCUUGACUAGCUGGGACUACAGGCACCCGCCACCAUGCCGGGCUAAUUUUUUGUAUUUUUAGUAGAGACGGGGUUACACUCUGUUAGCCAGAAUGGUCUCGAUCUCCUGACCUCGUGAUGUGCCCGCCUCGGCCUCCCAAAGUGCUGGGAUUACAGGCGUGAGCCACCGCGCCCGGUCCAGCCAUCUUUCUUAACGUGCAUACACGAUGUGACUCACUGGAGCCCUGAUAAGAUUAUUGAUUUCUUGAGGAGAACAAUGUUGUCGGAAACCUUCUCCAACUGUUGCUCACGGGUAUACAGUCAGGGCUGUCUUCCCAGAAUAUAAUGCAAGGAAACCUUGACCCAGUUCUCCAUGUCAUUUUCCUUUACCAGAAGGCCCUUUCGAGGUAUGGCAACUAGAUUUUUUCAGCUACCACCAUCACAAAGAUACAGGCACAUCCUAGUGAUGGUUUGUGUAUUUUCUCAUGGGUAGAAGCAUUUCCAUGCAGAAGAGCAGCAGCCUUGGCGUGAGCUCCAAGAAGCAAAAACUCAAGGAACACAUACUUCAGCCAGGAGACUUUGUAGGAAACAGCAUCCUUUAAAGGACUUUCUCCACCAAGGAGGAAGGAACCUUAUCAGGGACUCCUAACCAACCCUUGUGCCACUAAGCUUAAAGGAGUUGAUUCCUGGAUACCUGCCACCCAUGCAAGGAAAGCUGCUUUGUCAAUUUGGACUUCAUCUCAAAUUGGUGAUCUAAAACUAAAACUCUCCAGAACCAACAAGGAUGAGAAGAAAACAACAUGUGAGGCGAUCAGCCUUCUCAAGACACCUGACCAGGCCUGUAUCUAGACAAACCCUUAAUAUAAUCAUCGUCAGUAGAUGAGGAAGGUCUUCCUUUACAAGUUCCCACCACACUUCCUUCUUUUUGUCCCUAGUUCUUCUGUUUUGUUGCUACCAUCACCAGCCAUUGCCCAUGAAACAAACAUCUUCUUGCAGUAGGCUUGGGCCUGUGCUAGUAAAUUACAGGACAACACUCGUUAGGUGUGUGGCCUUGCGCCCCUUUCUGGUGGUUCUGGCCUACCAUGGUGGCAGCUCCUCUUCAAGGACAAGAGUAGACAGAAUAUCAGAAAUGUGUCUGUGUUUCUCAGGACAGUCAUUGGUGCUUAGCACUAGUAUGAUGAAGGCAAGUGUGCAUCACUGGCCUAUGAAUGAUACUUUACAAAGCAAAAGCCAUAGGAAGAGCUUUCCAGUAAAAGUCCACAUACCUUAAUGCUGGUACUACACCAGCUGAGAGAUUAGACCACUCAAUAUCGGGAUGGCAUAACACAAACUUGGGAUGGUUUCACCUGACUUACCCUCUCUUUGGGUCAACUUAGUUCACGUGCCCCUUUACAUUGGGAACAAAAGAAUCAUAUCAAAGAUCCCUGGCCCAGGAGCACUGGAGAUACGGGAUGGAACCCAGAGAACAGUGCAUCUACACCAUUGUGUUACAGAGUCCUGGCUGGCAUGCCACUGAGUGGGCAUAGUGACCGGGUGUUUACUGGUUGGCUCCAGAUGGAACAUCUGGACUCUGUGAUAAUGACCUAUGGCCAUGGUUACCCCCAAGGUGGCCAGGACACCAUUCUCUGCAUUAUGCCUGGACAUAGGAUGGAAUAGUUCACAACCGACAUAGAUAGUAGAUAAAACUAGGUAGUCUGAAUAAUUCAAAGUAUGGACUUUGAUUCAUAAUGCUUCAAUACUGGUUCUUAAAUGUAACAAACAACACACUUUUAAUCUGUGCAUUGUGAGGUGCUGAGCGAGAGGGGCCGGCUGCCAGGUGCCGGGUGGUGGGUGGGUCAAAGGCCAAACGCAGGUUCCACCAGGCAGGUGUCACUCCCGGCAGGAGUAGAAACCAGAGGCCUCACUGAGAGUGCCAGCCCCCACCCUGGUGUUUCAUUUUCCCCCACGGCACUGGGUGAAGGUUAGGUGUGUCUGUGAAGACAGCAGUGAAGGGAUACUGUCUCACUGCCCAGAGAGCCCCUAACAAAAGGUUUCUGCCAUUCUAUGGCCCUGGAGUCAGGGGAAGAGAGAGAGGGAGGCAGCUGAGAGUGGAAAAGUGCUGAAUGCAAAGUCAGAGUGGGAAAAAUGUCUUCCAGGCCCCCUGAAAAGGAGGCUUUGGCAGAGGUACCUAAGACAGGCCUCAGCCAAGGGACCCAUGUGGUCUCGGAAGGGAGGUGCCUGGGUUGGGCACAGGGGAUACCCAGGGCACCCAGGUCCUUCCCCGCAACAGCCUUCAGACACGGCAGUGCACUGGCCACACACCAUGAGGCAGCCAGGUGGGGCCUUUGUCAUCACCCGUGGUCAGACCUGAAAGAUCCCACAGGGCAUUUGGGCUGCAGCCAGCCAACUUUCCAGGCAGCAUGUUGCAUUCCAACUCUGUUUCAAUAAAACUAGUUUCGAAAAAGAAAGAAACAUUUCAAAAUAUUGACGGGAUGCUGCUAAGUUUUGAUCGUUGCAUUAGAAAGAAAGAGAUUAAAGGAAUAGUUUAAGCUUCCGCACCAGGAAUCUAGAAAAGGAAAACCAAAUCAAGCUCAAACUAAGUAGAAGGAAGGGGAGUGAGAUCAGAAUGGAUGCUGGGCGCGGUAGCUCACACCUGUAAUCCCAGCACUUUGGGAGGCCAAAGUGGGUGGAUCACCUGAGGUCAGGAGUUUGUAACAAGGCUGGCCAACAUGGUAAAACCCCAUCUCUACAAAAAUACAAAAAUUAGCUGGGCGUAGUUGUACGCACCUGUAAUCCCAGCUGCUCAGGUGGCUGAGGCAAGAGAAUCACUUGAACCCAGGAAGCAGAGGUUGCAGUGAGCCACGAUGACACCACUGCUCUCCAGCCUGGGGGACAGAGAGAGAGACUUUAUCUAAAUUCCAAAACUUUGGGAGGCCAAGGGCAGAUCACCUGAGGUCAGGAGUUUGAGACCAGCCUAUCCAACAUGGUGAAACUCCAUCUCUACUAAAAACACAAAAAUUAGCCAGGCAUGCUGCCGCGUGCCUGCAAUCCCAGCUACUCGGGAAGCUGAGACAGAAGAAUCCUUUGAAACUAGUAGGCGGAGAUUGCAGUGAGCUGACACCAUGCCACUGCACUCCAGCCUGGGUGACAGAGCAAGACUCCAUCUCAAAAAAAAGAAAAAAAAAGAUCCGAAUGGCAAACAGUGACCUAGAAAACAGUAAGACAAAUACGGAAAACAGAAGAAACUAAAAGAAGUUGAUUCUAGGAAAACAAACUGAUCAGAUUUGCUAGACUGGACAAGCCAAAAGGAAAAGAAAAAAACAGAAAUAUGCCAAAUCAGGAAUAAAAGAAAUAACAUACAAGGGUCCAUGGUGAAACUAAAAAUAUCACAAAGAAAUUUUAAAAUGUUUAAAAAAAUAGAUAAUUUAGAUAAAAUGGACAAAUUCCUAAAGAGACAUAAAUUAUGAGCACUGACCAACAAUGAAUAGAAAAUUUGAACAGAUGUAUAAGUAACCAAGUUGAAUUAUAGUUAACUACAUGCCCACAAAGAAAAGAUCUGAGCCAAAUGGCUUCAUUGGUGAAUUUUCUCAAAUGCUUAAGAAACAAAUGAUAUCAAUCUUACAGGAAAUAGAGACAAAAUAACACUUCCCAAAUAUUUUACAAGGCCAGUAUUAACCUGAUACCAAAGCCAGGCAAACACAUCAUAAGAAAACUAUAAAAUGAGAAAGGUACAACUUUUUAACAAAGUGAUUGCAGAUUAAAUCCAGCAACAUGACCAAGUGGGGUUUAUCUGAGGAAUGCAAGGUUGGGCUAACAUCUGAAAGCCAAUUAAUGUCAUAACUCCUCAAUAGAAUAAAAGAAAAAAUCCAUAUGACCUUCUAAUAGCCACAGAAAAAGCAUUUGACAAAACCAACCCUUUCAUAAUAAAAACUCCCAACCUAAGACUACAAAGAAACUUUCACAACCUGAUAAAGGUCAUCUAUAAAAUAAACCUGCAGCUAUCUAAGUUUCAGAGAAUCAUCUUUUUGUCUUAUUUGUUUCCUCUGUUAUGUCUCUGCUUUUAUUUCAUUAAUCUCUUCAUUAUCUCCUUCAUUCUGUUUGCUUUGGGUUUAUUUGCUCUUCUAUUUCUAGAUUCUUGAGGUGAACACUUAGGUUAUUGUUUGAGACUUUUCCUCUUUUCUAAUGUAAACAUUUAGUGCUAUAAAUUUCUGUCUAAGCACUGCUUUGCUGAGCUUUUGAAUUUUGAUAUGUUGUAUUUUCAUGUUUAUUCUGUUGAGUGUACUUUUACGUAUUUCUCUUGAUCCUUAUUCUUUGACCCAUGGAUAAUGAAAAGUGUGUUAUUUCUUUUUCAUGUGUUUGGAGAUUUUCCUGUUAUUUUGUUGUUGAUUUCUAGUGGGGGUAAGAGAAGACAGACUAAGAUUUUAAUUCUUUUAAAUAUGUUGAGGUUUGUUUGAUAGUCAGAAGUGGUAUAUCUUUUUAUAUGUUUUGUGGGCACCUGAAAAGAAUAUAUAUUCUGCUGUUGUUGAUCGCCAUGUUCUCCAAAUACCCAUUAGAUCCAGUUGAUUGUUCAUAAGUUGUUCUCUGUCCUUGUGAAUUUUCUGUUUAGUUGUUCUAUCAAUUGGCGGGAAAGGAGAGUAGGGUCUCUAACAAUAAUUGUGGAUUGCUGUUUCUCUUUUGAGCUCUAUCAAUUAAUACAUUUUUUU